UACGAAGGGGGCUAGCGUUGCUCGGAAUUACUGGGCGUAAAGCGCACGUAGGCGGCUUCUUAAGUCGGUGGUGAAAUCCUGGAGCUCAACUCCAGAACUGCCUUCGAUACUGGGAAGCUCGAGUCCGGGAGAGGUGAGUGGAACUGCGAGUGUAGAGGUGAAAUUCGUAGAUAUUCGCAAGAACACCAGUGGCGAAGGCGGCUCACUGGCCCGGUACUGACGCUGAGGUGCGAAAGCGUGGGGAGCGAACAGG
This 253-nucleotide ribosomal RNA is filed under the name uncultured bacterium. Its description in RNAcentral is "partial 16S ribosomal RNA". It matches the Rfam family "Bacterial small subunit ribosomal RNA", at positions 524 to 776 of the family's 1533-position model. The record is from RNAcentral.